ACUCAAAUGAAUUGACGGGGGCCCGCACAAGCGGUGGAGCAUGUGGUUUAAUUCGAUGCAACGCGAAGAACCUUACCAAGGCUUGACAUCUCGGGAAGUUUCCAGAAACGGAGAUGUGCUCGCAAGAGAACCCGAAGACAGGUGGUGCAUGGCUGUCGUCAGCUCGUGUCGUGAGAUGUUGGAUUAAGUUCCGCAACGAGCGCAACCCUCGUGAAAUGUUGCCAGCAGUUCGGCUGGGCACUCAUUUCAGACUGCCGUAGUAAUGCGGAGGAAGGUGAGGAUGACGUCAAGUCAGCAUGCCCCGUACGCCUUGGGCUACACACAUGCUACAAUCCUGGGGGCAAACGGUCGCUAUCCCGUGAGGGCUCGCUAAUCCGAAAAGACCCAGGUCAGUGCGGAUUGUAGGCUGCAACUCGCCUACAUGAAGUCGGAAUCGCUAGUAACCGUCGGUCAGCAUUACGACGGUGAAUACGUUCCCGGGCCUUGUACACACCGCCCGU
This 500-nucleotide ribosomal RNA is filed under the name uncultured bacterium. RNAcentral describes it as "partial 16S ribosomal RNA". It matches the Rfam family "Bacterial small subunit ribosomal RNA", at positions 899 to 1397 of the family's 1533-position model. The record is from RNAcentral.